GUAGGUGAACCUGCGGAAGGAUCAUUACCGAGUUCAUGCCCUCCGGGGUAGGUCUCCCACCCUGUUUAUCGUACCCAUGUUGCUUUGGCGGGCCGAUCGCGUCGGCCACCGGCGAUCCGCUGGUGUGCGCCCGCCAGAGGCCCCAAACCCUGACCUUGACCGUGCCGUCCGAGUACUAUGGAAUAGUUAAAACUUUCAACAACGGAUCUCUUGGUUCUGGCAUCGAUGAAGAACGCAGCAUCUGACUGAC
RNAcentral lists this unclassified non-coding RNA (250 nucleotides) under plant metagenome. Its description in RNAcentral is "partial contains small subunit ribosomal RNA, internal transcribed spacer 1, and 5.8S ribosomal RNA". The record is from RNAcentral.